UACACUUAAAAGACGUCUAGAUACAUGUAUUAUUUCGACAUUUAAUAUGGGACGGAGAGAGCAAGUGUUUAGUGUCGGCUUCAACAUAACUCCCCUUCUUAUCACGGAUGAUCAUUAGUAGAAGAUGUAACUGGCAUUUGAUUAAUGACAGAAAAAACGCAUUAUUUUUUUCGAAAAGGAGGAUACUUUUUGGAAAAGGACAGUAACCUCCGGUGGAAAAGGCGCCUUUUGAUUAAUAAAAGUCUCAGUUGAUACACAAAAAAGAAAAAACGGAAGCUUAGCUUCCUUGUUACAACCGUAGCAUGCAUGAUGUAUGUCGUGCUAGGAGCAAGCGUUGCACGUUUGCACUUGUUCCUGCCGUAGAAGAAAAGAAAAACAUGGACACGACCCUUAUCUCUUUAUCCUCCGCGGCAUGGGUUAGACUGCUUGCGCAGAUGUGUCACGCAUUAUUGCGAAGCGAACGAGUGUGCUCAGCCCUGGUUUAAUUUUACUUGAACCAGGGGCCAAGCUUAGGCAGUUAGGCUGCUGCCCUGGACGCAAAGCUGUUCUCCCACGCAGUGUACGCCUAAUAAAACCAAGAGUAACGGGUGGAUUCCAAAAGAAGAAGGGAAAAAAAAUGAAAGGUGAACCUAAUUUGGGUGCAAUCAAACGGUAAUUCGGUCUUUCACGAGUAUGUAAAUUUUCUUGCAAAAGCGCUCAAUUUGGAUUCACUUGCUUUCAGAAAAUGAUAGGUGAACCAAAAUAAAGACGGACU
RNAcentral lists this long non-coding RNA (754 nucleotides) under Brachypodium distachyon (stiff brome). RNAcentral's name for it is "long non-coding RNA (BDIS_LNC000827)". The record is from RNAcentral. Lineage: Eukaryota; Viridiplantae; Streptophyta; Magnoliopsida; Poales; Poaceae.